CAGGGAGACAAUAAAUUGAUUGUGAUGUCUAAGUUAUUUAUUCUUAGGCCGCAAUCCUGUCACCUUAAGGUCGAUCGGUACCUCAGAUUUUGAAUUAGUUUUACAAUUGAUUCUUUGAUUUCAGUUCCUAAACUUGUCUAGGUCACACCCAACAAAGGUUUCUCCUGGGCCAUUAGCUCAGGUGGUUAGAGCGCACCCCUGAUAAGGGUGAGGUCCCUGGUUCAAGUCCAGGAUGGCCCAUUCGUUGUUGGGGGUAUAGCUCAGUUGGUAGAGCGCCUGCUUUGCAAGCAGGAUGUCAGCGGUUCGAGUCCGCUUACCUCCACUGAAAACUAUCCUGAUAACUAAAUUUCUGGAGAAAAAAAUUGUAGAUGUGGCUUAGAAUUGUCUAUUUGAAAAGAACCUAGCUUCUUGUCAUCUUUUUAUAGUUGAUAAAAUGCUGGGCUCGCAUGGAUUAUUUCCAUGAGAAUUCAGUAGAACCUUGAAAACUGCAUAGAUUAGAAAGAAUAAAGCAUCUCAUGGAUGCAUAGUUCUGUUUUUAUAAUUUAGCCUUAAAACUAAAUUAUUUAAUUCUAGAAUUCAUGUUUAAUUCUUGAGUAAUAGCCGAGCACAAUUGAUUUUGUGAUUGUAUUAAA
Molecule: transfer RNA, 632 nt
Filed under: uncultured Prochlorococcus sp.
Lineage: Bacteria; Bacillati; Cyanobacteriota; Cyanophyceae; Synechococcales; Prochlorococcaceae
Description: partial 16S-23S ribosomal RNA intergenic spacer
Rfam family: tRNA (bases 250-322)
Source: RNAcentral